GCAUAUCAAUAAGCGGAGGAAAAGAAACCAACAGGGAUUGCCUUAGUAGCGGCGAGUGAAGCGGCAAAAGCUCAAAUUUGAAAUCUGGCACUUUCAGUGUCCGAGUUGUAAUUUGAAGAAGGUAUCUUUGGGUCUGGCUCUUGUCUAUGUUUCUUGGAACAGAACGUCACAGAGGGUGAGAAUCCCGUGCGAUGAGAUGUCCCAGACCUAUGUAAAGUUCCUUCGAAGAGUCGAGUUGUUUGGGAAUGCAGCUCUAAGUGGGUGGUAAAUUCCAUCUAAAGCUAAAUAUUGGCGAGAGACCGAUAGCGAACAAGUACAGUGAUGGAAAGAUGAAAAGAACUUUGAAAAGAGAGUGAAAAAGUACGUGAAAUUGUUGAAAGGGAAGGGCUUGAGAUCAGACUUGGUAUUUUGUAUGUUACUCUCUCGGGGGUGGCCUCUACAGUUUACCGGGCCAGCAUCAGUUUGGGCGGUAGGACAAUUGCAAAGAAAUGUGGCACUGCCUCGGUAGUGUGUUAUAGUCUUUGUCGAUACUGCCAGCCUAGACUGAGGACUGCGGCUUCGGCCUAGGAUGUUGGCAUAAUGAUCUUAAGUCGCCCGUCUUGAAACACGGACC
RNAcentral lists this ribosomal RNA (613 nucleotides) under Lodderomyces orthopsilosis. RNAcentral's name for it is "eukaryotic LSU rRNA". It matches the Rfam family "Eukaryotic large subunit ribosomal RNA", at positions 38 to 667 of the family's 3401-position model. Lineage: Eukaryota; Fungi; Ascomycota; Pichiomycetes; Serinales; Debaryomycetaceae. The record is from RNAcentral.